UAAUAAGGUGAGCAGAAAACCAUGUCGUGUAUGCAAUUGUCUGAGGUACUUGCUAUCGUGCGCUGAGCCUUGCUUUCAGAGUGUUUUCGAAAGCUGUUGUUACUUCUUCUUUUUUUCUGAAAUGAGUCAGGAAAUUGUUAUUGCACUACCAAAGUGGCUGUUUAUUAGGUUGAUGGGAGACUGAUGCUUGCAUAAGCUAUGAGGGCUGAGUAUGAUUUUCUUUCUCUGGGAGGCAAAAAAAGAGAUUGUACCUUCAAUACAUGAAAACGCAGCUUUUGCUCUUUAUUGAACUAAUGCAGCUGACCAAAUUUCACCAACAGAAGAUAUACUAUCUCAGUGCUAAAAAUUUGAAGAGAAUGUGAACUGACCUUGGGCAAAUCCAGUCUCCAGUCUUCCAUCCUGGAGGGAAACU
Gastrolobium bilobum is the source of this 412-nucleotide long non-coding RNA. RefSeq lists it as uncharacterized. The record is from RefSeq and is a predicted model, not a curated record. The transcript has 3 exons. Lineage: Eukaryota; Viridiplantae; Streptophyta; Magnoliopsida; Fabales; Fabaceae.